Pelobates cultripes (western spadefoot toad) is the source of this 336-nucleotide non-coding RNA. NCBI's taxonomy places the organism in Eukaryota, Metazoa, Chordata, Amphibia, Anura, Pelobatidae. The record is from the annotation of a GenBank genome assembly.
AGGGGUAGAUUAAGGUGGUAAUCCUCAAUUACAAAUCUAGAGAGAGAAGUAAGAAUCUGACAAAUUAUUGAAUAAUGUCAACAAAAUAAGAGGGGGGACUGGUUAGUUAUCAUUGGUUAAAAUUGCAUCACACUAAUAAUACAUCAAAUUGAUCACCAAGGAACUGGAUGCCUAAUUUUAAUUUCCAACCUCUUGGUUUUGCUUUUCUCAUUGUUUUACGUGUAUUAAAAGGACACUCUAGGCAACAUGACUGCUCACUGCUAACACUUGCUAUUGAUCAAUGUCUGUUCCGUCCAAUGUGGACGGCAUUGGUUGGCUGAGAGUGCUGAGCUAGUU